RNAcentral lists this ribosomal RNA (435 nucleotides) under uncultured Streptococcus sp. RNAcentral's name for it is "bacterial SSU rRNA". It matches the Rfam family "Bacterial small subunit ribosomal RNA", at positions 945 to 1382 of the family's 1533-position model. Lineage: Bacteria; Bacillati; Bacillota; Bacilli; Lactobacillales; Streptococcaceae. The record is from RNAcentral.
AUUAAUUCGAUGCAACGCGAAAACCUUACCUACCCUUGACAUGUCUGGAACCUUGCUGAGAGGCGAGGGUGCCUUCGGAGCCAGAACACAGGUGCUGCAUGGCUGUCGUCAGCUCGUGUCGUGAGAUGUUGGGUUAAGUCCCGCAACGAGCGCAACCCUUGUCAUUAGUUGCCAUCAUUUAGUUGGGCACUCUAAUGAGACUGCCGGUGACAAACCGGAGGAAGGUGGGAUGACGUCAAAUCAUCAUGCCCCUUAUGACCUGGGCUACACACGUGCUACAAUGGUUGGUACAACGAGUUGCGAGUCGGUGACGGCGAGCUAAUCUCUUAAAGCCAAUCUCAGUUCGGAUUGUAGGCUGCAACUCGCCUACAUGAAGUCGGAAUCGCUAGUAGUCGCGGAUCAGCACGCCCGCGGUCCGAAUACGUUCCGGGCCUU